GUCCAUGUGAGCUCUGAGAUCAGAU
This 25-nucleotide non-coding RNA is filed under the name Cricetulus griseus (Chinese hamster). Lineage: Eukaryota; Metazoa; Chordata; Mammalia; Rodentia; Cricetidae. The record is from RNAcentral.